Podarcis lilfordi (Lilford's wall lizard) is the source of this 68-nucleotide non-coding RNA. The record is from the annotation of a GenBank genome assembly. Lineage: Eukaryota; Metazoa; Chordata; Lepidosauria; Squamata; Lacertidae.
GGAUAGCUCAGUCAGUAGAGCAUGAGGCUCUUUAUCUCAGGGCCAUGGGUUCAAGCCUGUUAUGUACU